This is a long non-coding RNA of Lotus japonicus, 1133 nucleotides long. RefSeq lists it as uncharacterized. The record is from RefSeq and is a predicted model, not a curated record. The transcript has 3 exons. NCBI's taxonomy places the organism in Eukaryota, Viridiplantae, Streptophyta, Magnoliopsida, Fabales, Fabaceae.
AAAUAUCUCUGUUUUAAACUUGACUCUCAAAAUAAAAAAAUCUGAUUUUUUGUCUUUUCUGUAUCCCUGCGAUCCCCACCGCCACCGCCUCCUUCGGAUUGAUUCCAAGAUGCCCUCUGCUCUUAAGUUCACACGGAAGUUGGAAAUACAUCAUCAACAAGUAAACAACUGUUAUAGGUUGUCAAUUGUAGAAAACCAAAGCUGUGUCCCCAAAGUCCUUCAAGUUUUGGAACUACAUAGAAGGUGCUCUUUGUCCUGCUUGAUUGAUUGACAAACAGGACUACCAUCUCAAUCUGGGCCUCAAUAUGAUGCUUUUUCGUUGUUUCAUUAUGAUCAUUUAGUCUUUGGAAAAUCAUGCUUUAGUGUGUGGUUGUUAUAUCGGUCUUGGUAGUGUUAUCGAGUACAUUGAAAAAAUAUAUUUUUGUUAUAUGUCAGUGAUGUUGUGUUGAUCUAGAUUCAGGGGAUAUUAAUUUUAUCUGUACUAUUGAAUUACCUAUUCAAUAAGGAGGUUUUUAAAUGUGUAAGACAAAUUCAGCUCUCUUCAACAAAGCUUCAAUCCAGAACAUUCAAGUCUAAAAACUAGACAUGCAAUUUAGAUUCAGGGAUAUUAAUUUUAUUCAAGUUAUGAGGUUGUUGUGUUUCAUUCAAGUUGAACAUCUUCUUUCAGCAAUUUUUAGGUUUUUUGCAAGCAUGUUUACAUAUGUGAGAUCAGAAAUAGGUGAAGAGCUCUCAUCUGCACACAUUGAAGAAUUUUGGUAAUGCUUACUUGAUAAACCAUUUCCAUGACAUAACUGUUUUGUAACUGAGGAGAGAGACACACUAACAAGAAAAAAUCAAAUUUUGGGGGCUUCCAUUAUGUGUGAUGGUCUUCAAGGAAAUGGUAUGACGGUUUCCCCUAGGCUUCUCACACUAGAGUUUAGCUUUGGAUCAAAUUUUUAGUUUAGUUUUCUUCUGCAAAAAGACUGGGCAAUUUACUUAUUUUUAGUUGAUUUGCUAAUGGUGCAAAGUACUAGCUAGGAAUCCACAGGAUAGGUUUUUGGCUUUAGUGAAUUGGUUUUGUUUGGAUCUCAAUGUAUUGAUUGUGACAUGUACUUCAAAUAAAGUUGCAAAUAAGAGUCUUGGGAUUCCUGAUC